UGGAGUUUCAAUGUUUUUUGCGCCAUCAAAAAUAAUGCAAUUCUCGAUGUUCACAUUUAUGAUGGGACUUUAACUGGAGAUAGAUAUUCUGACAUAUUGACUCAAAUAAUUGAGCCGCUAGUACAGAACCAUAAUGACUUAUGGUAUCAACAAGAUGGCGCGCCUCCACACAAUUCACUCAAUGUGUCAAAUAUCCUCUACAGGCUAUUUGAAGAUCGAUGAUUGGCGAACAAUGGUCCACAUCUUUGACCGCCACGUUCUCCCGAUUUAACUCCUUUAGACUAUUAUGUUUGGGGUAGGAUAAAAAAUAUUGUCUACUCAACUCCCCUGACUGAUAAAGAGGACUGCAUAGAACGAGUCAGAAAUGCGUUCAGAUCUCUUCCUCCCGAUGAAAUAAGAAGAGCAACGCACGAAGCAUUCCUGAGACGUAUAAAUAAAUGUCUUGAAAUUAACGGUCAAAACUUUGAGCAUCUUCUCUAGUUAUA
Molecule: long non-coding RNA, 485 nt
Organism: Harmonia axyridis
Lineage: Eukaryota; Metazoa; Arthropoda; Insecta; Coleoptera; Coccinellidae
Exons: 3
Source: RefSeq, a predicted model, not a curated record